AGAGUUUGAUCAUGGCUCAGGACGAACGCUGGCGGCGUGCCUAAUACAUGCAAGUCGAGCGAACCUUUAGGAGCUUGCUCCUGAAGGUUAGCGGCGGACGGGUGAGUAACACGUGGGCAACCUGCCUGUAAGACUGGGAUAACUUCGGGAAACCGGAGCUAAUACCGGAUAAUUCUUUUCUCUCAUGGGAAAGACUGAAA
This 200-nucleotide ribosomal RNA is filed under the name uncultured bacterium. Its description in RNAcentral is "partial 16S ribosomal RNA". It matches the Rfam family "Bacterial small subunit ribosomal RNA", at positions 8 to 205 of the family's 1533-position model. The record is from RNAcentral.